CAACCGAGAUUCCGAAAGUAGCGGCGAGCGAAAUUGGACUAGCCCUUAAGCUUUACACGCGUUAGACGAACGGUCUGGAAAGUCCGACGAUACAGGGUGAUAGUCCCGUAGUUGACGACGUGUGUUCAGUGAAAUCGAGUAGGGCGGGACACGUGAUAUCCUGUCUGAAUAUGGGGGGACCAUCCUCCAAGGCUAAAUACUACUGACUGACCGAUAGUGAACCAGUACCGUGAGGGAAAGGCGAAAAGAACCCCUGUGAGGGGAGUGAAAUAGAACCUGAAACCGUGUACGUACAAGCAGUAGGAGCAGGCUU
RNAcentral lists this ribosomal RNA (313 nucleotides) under Vibrio parahaemolyticus. Its description in RNAcentral is "partial 23S ribosomal RNA". It matches the Rfam family "Bacterial large subunit ribosomal RNA", at positions 226 to 586 of the family's 2925-position model. The record is from RNAcentral. Lineage: Bacteria; Pseudomonadati; Pseudomonadota; Gammaproteobacteria; Vibrionales; Vibrionaceae.